Non-coding RNA from Myxocyprinus asiaticus (Chinese sucker), 131 nucleotides. Lineage: Eukaryota; Metazoa; Chordata; Actinopteri; Cypriniformes; Catostomidae. The record is from RefSeq and is a predicted model, not a curated record.
GUGGUUCAUCCUAGUAUGACUUCUGAGCUGAGAAGUGCUUUAGUCCUGGACACCGCACACAGAGUGAGACUGGUUCCUGCCAACAGGGCCUGUUGAGUGCUCGGGCUCCCUGUGCGAUGGUUCCACACACA